RNAcentral lists this ribosomal RNA (253 nucleotides) under uncultured bacterium. Its description in RNAcentral is "partial 16S ribosomal RNA". It matches the Rfam family "Bacterial small subunit ribosomal RNA", at positions 524 to 776 of the family's 1533-position model. The record is from RNAcentral.
UACGUAGGGCGCAAGCGUUGUCCGGAAUUAUUGGGCGUAAAGAGCUCGUAGGUGGUUUGUUACGUCCGCUGUGAAAACCUAGGGCUUAACCCUGGGCUUGCAGUGGAUACGGGCAGACUAGAGGUAGGUAGGGGAGAAUGGAAUUCCUGGUGUAGCGGUGAAAUGCGCAGAUAUCAGGAGGAACACCGGUGGCGAAGGCGGUUCUCUGGGCCUUACCUGACACUGAGGAGCGAAAGCGUGGGGAGCGAACAGG